Molecule: non-coding RNA, 859 nt
Organism: Anolis sagrei ordinatus
Lineage: Eukaryota; Metazoa; Chordata; Lepidosauria; Squamata; Anolidae
Source: RefSeq, a predicted model, not a curated record
CACGACGAAGCCAGGGAAGAAAGUCCGGGCAGCUGCCAUUUCCGUUUUCCCUCUGGGCUGAGGAUGGGGCGAGGCCUUCUCCCGGCGCUCUUGGUGCUGCUGCUGCUGCUGCUGCUGCCCGUGCUGCUGAGGGGAGAGGAGGCGUCGCCCAGGAGCAGCCCGCCCUUGCAGUCCCCCGUUGGGGGUGCAAAGAUUACUGCAGACGCAGACCGCAGCCAGGAAAUCCAAAGACACUUACUUCUUGGGAGGAGAGCAAUGACCAAUCUUGAUAAAAUAGUGAAGAGCAGAGACAUCACACUGGCAACAAAGAUCUGCAUAGUCAAAGCACCUACGGAUGUGAGAGCUGGACCAUAAGGAAGGCUGAGUGAAGGAAGGUAGAUGCUUUUGAACUGUGGUGCUGGAGGAAAGUGCUGAGAGUGCCUUGGACCGCCAGAAGAUCCAACCAGUCCAUCCUCCAGGAAAUAAAGCCCGACUGCUCAUUGGAGGGAAAGAUAGCAGAGGCCAAGAUGAAGUAUUUUGGCCACAUCAUGAGAAGGAAACCUUAGGGAAGACAAUGAUGCUGGGGAAAAUGGAAGGAAAAGAGAAGAGGGGCCGAGCAAGGGCAAUAUGGUUGGAUCUCAUCCUUGAAGUGACUGGAUUGACCUUGAAGGAGCUGGGGUGGUGACGGCUGACAUGGAGCUCUGGCGUGGGCUGGUCCAUGAGGUCACAAAGAGUCGGAAACGACUCAACGAAUGAACAAAAACAACAAAUGAAUCGUAAUGUAAAUAUCUGAUAUACAGGAUGUAUUUUCAUUCACUGGACCAAAUUUGGCACAAAUACUCAAUAAAUGUGAACGCUGGCGAAGUUUGGGGGAAAUAGA